Molecule: ribosomal RNA, 1238 nt
Filed under: metagenome
Description: bacterial SSU rRNA
Rfam family: Eukaryotic small subunit ribosomal RNA
Source: RNAcentral
UGUACAUAAAUUUUGCUGCAGUUAAAACGCUCGUAGUUGCGGUUGCGCUGGGAGAGAAGACUGUGUGCGCAAGCAUGCGGUUUUUUUCUCCUGGCUAUUUUCUGGGUCGCUUGUUAAUUCAAACGACCCUUGUAAACCCUGAAGAAAUAUUGUUGCUCAAAGCUGGUCUUAGGAUCGAGUUCUUUUUGCAUGGGAUUUUAGAAAAUGUGGGAUGGUUUAAUCACCGUUCCAAAUGACGUUUGAGGAAGAAGGAGGUGGUUUGUACUGGAAUGCUAGAGGUGAAAUUCUUUGAUUAUUCCAUGACAAACUGAUGCGAAGGCGUUCCACAACUGCUUUCCUGUCAAUCAAGAACGAAAGUAGAAGGUUCGAAGACGAUCAGAUACCGUCGUAGUUUCUACCGUAAAUGUUGCCGACAAAGGAGGCGAGAACGACAUAGAGCAAACACUUUAGUGGUUGCUUAAUAUCCUCUCGCUUUCUCCCACGAAAGUUCAAGUCUUUGGGUUCUGGGGGGAGUAUGUUCGCAAGGCCGAAACUUAAAGGAAUUGACGGAGGAGCACCACCAGGCGUGGAGCUUGCGGCUUAAUUUGACUCAACACGGGGAAACUUACCAGGCCCAGACAGCAGGAGGAUUGACAGAUUGAAAGCUCUUUCAUAAUUUGUUGGGUGGUGGUGCAUGGCCGUUCUUAGUUGGUGGUGUGAGCUGUCUGGUCGAUUCCGUUAACGAACGAGACCUUCGCCGCAUAAUAGAACGGCGGAGAUGUCGCGCUAAGCCUGUAUGGGACUCUUGGGGAUUUCCUUCGGGCCCCCCGAGAGCAUCGUGUGCAGGUGCGGUUCUCCGUCGAGUCUUCUUUGCGGGACUAAUGGGGAAGACCCAUUGGAAGUUGGAGGCAAAAACAGGUCUGUGAUGCCCUUAGAUGUUCUGGGCUGCACGCGUGCUACAAUGACAGAUUCAACGAGUUUCUCGCUUGCUCGAAAGGGCUGGCUAAUCUUUGAAAAUCUGUCGUACCAAGGACUGCUGAUUGCAAUUAUUCGGCACGAAUCAGGAAUGCCUUGUACCUGUGAGUCAACAGCUCACAGGGAAUACGUCCCUGCUCUUUGUACACACCGCCCGUCGCUGCUACCAAUUGGUGUUCCCGGUGAAAAGUUCGGAGUGAGCCUGUUUCGGCGUUAAACCCGUGCAGAUUUGCAAAGUUCUUUAAAUCUUGGGCACUAGAGGAAGCAGAAGUCGUAACAAGGUU